RNAcentral lists this ribosomal RNA (515 nucleotides) under uncultured bacterium. RNAcentral's name for it is "partial 16S ribosomal RNA". It matches the Rfam family "Bacterial small subunit ribosomal RNA", at positions 28 to 523 of the family's 1533-position model. The record is from RNAcentral.
GAUGAACGCUGGCGGCGUGCCUAAUACAUGCAAGUCGAGCGAAUGGAUUAAGAGCUUGCCCUUAUGAAGUUAGCGGCGGACGGGUGAGUAACACGUGGGUAACCUGCCCAUAAGACUGGGAUAACUCCGGGAAACCGGGGCUAAUACCGGAUAAUAUUUUGAACUGCCUGGUUCAAAAUUGAAAGGCGGCUUCGGCUGUCACUUAUGGCUGGACCCGCGUCGCAUUAGCGAGUUGGUGAGGUAACGGCUCACCAAGGCAACGAUGCGUAGCCGACCUGAGAGGGUGAUCGGCCACACUGGGACUGAGACACGGCCCAGACUCCUACGGGAGGCAGCAGUAGGGAAUCUUCCGCAAUGGACGAAAGUCUGACGGAGCAACGCCGCGUGAGUGAUGAAGGCUUUCGGGUCGUAAAACUCUGUUGUUAGGGAAGAACAAGUGCUAGUUGAAUAAGCUGGCACCUUGACGGUACCUAACCAGAAAGCCACGGCUAACUACGUGCCAGCCGCCGCCGUAA